This 894-nucleotide ribosomal RNA is filed under the name Salmonella enterica subsp. enterica serovar Infantis. RNAcentral's name for it is "partial 23S ribosomal RNA". It matches the Rfam family "Bacterial large subunit ribosomal RNA", at positions 2049 to 2925 of the family's 2925-position model. The record is from RNAcentral. Lineage: Bacteria; Pseudomonadati; Pseudomonadota; Gammaproteobacteria; Enterobacterales; Enterobacteriaceae.
CGCUGUGAAGAUGCAGUGUACCCGCGGCAAGACGGAAAGACCCCGUGAACCUUUACUAUAGCUUGACACUGAACAUUGAGCCUUGAUGUGUAGGAUAGGUGGGAGGCUUUGAAGCGUGGACGCCAGUCUGCGUGGAGCCGACCUUGAAAUACCACCCUUUAAUGUUUGAUGUUCUAACGUGGAUCCGUAAUCCGGGUUGCGGACAGUGUCUGGUGGGUAGUUUGACUGGGGCGGUCUCCUCCUAAAGAGUAACGGAGGAGCACGAAGGUUGGCUAAUCCUGGUCGGACAUCAGGAGGUUAGUGCAAUGGCAUAAGCCAGCUUGACUGCGAGCGUGACGGCGCGAGCAGGUGCGAAAGCAGGUCAUAGUGAUCCGGUGGUUCUGAAUGGAAGGGCCAUCGCUCAACGGAUAAAAGGUACUCCGGGGAUAACAGGCUGAUACCGCCCAAGAGUUCAUAUCGACGGCGGUGUUUGGCACCUCGAUGUCGGCUCAUCACAUCCUGGGGCUGAAGUAGGUCCCAAGGGUAUGGCUGUUCGCCAUUUAAAGUGGUACGCGAGCUGGGUUUAGAACGUCGUGAGACAGUUCGGUCCCUAUCUGCCGUGGGCGCUGGAGAACUGAGGGGGGCUGCUCCUAGUACGAGAGGACCGGAGUGGACGCAUCACUGGUGUUCGGGUUGUCAUGCCAAUGGCACUGCCCGGUAGCUAAAUGCGGAAGAGAUAAGUGCUGAAAGCAUCUAAGCACGAAACUUGCCCCGAGAUGAGUUCUCCCUGAGACUUAGAGUCUCCUGAAGGAACGUUGAAGACGACGACGUUGAUAGGCCGGGUGUGUAAGCGCAGCGAUGCGUUGAGCUAACCGGUACUAAUGAACCGUGAGGCUUAACCUUACAACGCCGAAG